CCCAGGUCUUCCAAGUCAUUGAAACUCACAUCCAGAGCCUUGAGGUGAAUGUUGGACUGCAGGGUAGUGGAUAAAGCGUCACAGGAGACAAAGAGGUUUCAAUCAUCACCAAUAAGACAGACUUCUACAUCUGUAUCUUCACCUACAAACUCUUCCCUGACUUGGAAAACCCCGUCUCUGAACUCUUGAUGGGGAAACAAACUCAGAGAGAGAGACCGGCUCGGUCAAAGACAGCCAGUCACCUGAAAGAGCAGAAUAAUCAGAGCUGGAAAGACCUUAGAGAUCAAGCAGCUGACUUGGAGACAGGAGGCCUGAGUUCAGAUCAGCCUCAGUUCAAACCAAUGCAAGUCUAGCCUCAUGCUAGCUGUGGAACUUCUGUCUGCCUCAGGCUCCCCAUCUGUAAAAUGGGGAUAAUAAAAGCAUCUACUUCAAAGGGUCAUUGUGAGAUAUAAAUGAGAUGAUAAUUGUACAUGCCUUAGCACAGUGAUGGGCACUCAGUGGUAUCUUAAUGUUAUCUGUCACCAUCAUUAGCAUUAUUGUUAUUAGAAAUCAUCUAGUCUAACUUCUUUGUUUUCUAAAAUUGAGGCCCAGGGUGGUGAGAUAUAGACGAAUCUGAACCCAGAAAGAGGAAUGGUAAGAGCCUGUUUCUCAGGGCUGUCCCGAGGAACAGAUGACAUCUUAUUUCUCUCUUGGUAGGUUUAUGGACAGAUAGUUUAUGUACAGGAUUAUAUAUGCACACACACGUCUACGUGUGUUUUGUAUAUGAGUAUAUACACACCUGUGUGUUUAUAUAGCUACACAUUCACACAGACUAUAUUAUAUAUAGGAUAUUCACAUGUUUAUAUAUACACUGUGUUUAUAUAUGUAUACAUCUACACAGACUAUACUAUAUAUAGGAUAUUUAUAUGUGGCUUGGACAUUCACACCUGUGUGUUUAUAUAUCUACACAUCCACAUGGACUAUAUUAUAUAGGAUAUUUACAUGUGGCUUGGAUAUAUACACCUGUGUGUUUAUAUAUGUUCACACCCACAUGGACUAUACUAUAUAUGGGAUAUUUACAUGGGGCUUGCAUAUAUGUGUGUAUACAUUAUAGGUAAUUUUUUUUUUCCAAUCCAAGCUUCCCGAUCCAGAUCAGGAAGGCCUAGGUUAAUCUUCCAGCACUGCCGCUUACUUGCUAAAUCAUGUGACCUCACGGGGUCACUAAGGGAGCCCACUGGAUUUGGGGAUUUCUAAGGCUUCCUCCAUUUCUGGGCUCCCUGAAGUCCCAGCCCAGGCCCUGACCCUGCUUCAUUAAGGGAACUUGAGGAAGUCUGUCUAGACCUGGGUCUGGACAAUGGAGGUAUUGCACCAGAUGCCUUUUGUGAUCUAGCUCUGACAUUCUGGGAUUUCGUGGCCCAGCCUACCCCUCCAUUUCGCAGACGAGAAGCUGAGGACUC
Long non-coding RNA from Sarcophilus harrisii (Tasmanian devil), 1436 nucleotides. RefSeq lists it as uncharacterized. The transcript has 3 exons. The record is from RefSeq and is a predicted model, not a curated record. Lineage: Eukaryota; Metazoa; Chordata; Mammalia; Dasyuromorphia; Dasyuridae.